UUUCCGGAGCUUUUUACGGUGGUAAUCUGUCCGCAAAGAGACUCUUACUGUUGCCCGGUUUUGAAGAAGGGAGUGAAAAUGUUUCAUUCUGCUGGGUUUUGUUUGUUUUUCGAGACAGGAUUUCUCUCUGUGUAGCUUUGGAGCCUGUCCUGGAACAGGCUGGCUUCGAACUCACAGAGAUCCACCUGUCUCUAUCUCCUGAAUGCUGGGAUUAAAGAUCUGCUUUCUUAGAACCCUAGCUGUCUGACUUUGAACCUGAGGAGGACUGCACGUACCCCAUGUCUCUGCUCAAGUGCUGGGAUUACAGAUGAUGCUGUUAGAAAAUUUGCUGCUUGUGAUGAGAUGCAUUGAGCCCUUUGAUCCAGUGAGGUUAUUAAAGAAUGCAGUUUUGAAAUCAUGGUAAAAUCUGAGUUGCCUGGAACCAGAAUUUUGUCAUUGGUGAAGAUAAACUUUUAAGACCUGCCCCAUAGACUGUCCUGCUCAAAAUUCACCAGCACACCAGGAUAUCCAUUUCCAUGGACACCUUUGGGAGACAGUUGGAGAG
Peromyscus eremicus (cactus mouse) is the source of this 544-nucleotide long non-coding RNA. RefSeq lists it as uncharacterized. NCBI's taxonomy places the organism in Eukaryota, Metazoa, Chordata, Mammalia, Rodentia, Cricetidae. The record is from RefSeq and is a predicted model, not a curated record. The transcript is spliced from 4 exons.